GGCAUCUGCAAUAUCAAUCAGAAAUAAUAGACCCAUUACCAUUCAUCUUAGUGGGAAGCUAUGAUCUAGUUAUCCCCAUAACUAGCUCAUUUUAGAGACCUAAUAAUUUAGAAGAUUUAAUUUAUGAAUUGAGAAAAGAGAAGAGAUCAAUCAGUAAACCAUAAUUCUUCUACUAACUUCAUCAAGUUAUUGAAUUAGAUUAAGAUCAUACUAGUCGAACUAGCACCUAGAUCAGUCACACUGAUCAACCUUGAUGGCAUGAGUCAACUUGAAUCACUUAGUAAUCUAAUCAAAAUCUAAUUCAUCAAAUUGGCCAAG
This 318-nucleotide long non-coding RNA is filed under the name Elaeis guineensis (African oil palm). RNAcentral describes it as "long non-coding RNA (EGUI_LNC041371)". The record is from RNAcentral. Lineage: Eukaryota; Viridiplantae; Streptophyta; Magnoliopsida; Arecales; Arecaceae.